AAGGUUUCCGAAGCUAUGGUGAUCAACUUCGGGUUAGUCGGGCCUAAGGGGAUGGUGAAAACCGCACCCGAUGGACACACUGUUAAUAUUCAGUGACCAUUCAUGUAUGCGAUGGAGAGACGGACGGUUGUAAUUGCUGCCCAUUAUUGGAUUUGGGUUCGCUCGUGAGGAGGUGUCUUAGGGAAAUCCGGGACGCACAUACUCCAAGCAACGCGACAAUUUCCUUCUUCGGAGGGAGAGAGAGCAGUGAGCACGGUUCCGAGAAAAUCUUCUAAGCUUCAGUACAUGAUGACCGUACCGCAAACCGACACAGGUGAUCAGGUCGAGUAGACCAAGACGAACGAGUGAGAGGUCCUCAAGGAACUCGGCAAAAUAGCGGCCGUAAGUUAGCGAUAAGGCCUGCCCAUAGCAAUAUGGGCCGCAGCUAAAGACUCCCUGGCAACUGUUUACCAAAAACACAGCUCCCUGCGAACUCGAAAGAGGAUGUAUAGGGGGUGACACCUGACCAAUGCCAGAAGGUUAAAUAUCGGCGUUCUUUCCUUGUCGCAAGAUAAGGAAAGGGUGACUGAUAUAAGCCCUGGUGAAUGUCGGCCGUAACUAUAACGGUCCUAAGGUAGCGAAGUACCUUGUCGGGUAAGUUCCGACGCGCACGAAUGGCGUAAUGACUGGGAAACUGUCUCGGAGACCAGCUCGGUGAAAAUACAAUACCGGUGAAGAUGCCGGUUAAGUGCAGUUAGACGAAAAGACCCUAGAAGCUUUACUAUAACUUGAUAUUGGGUAUGUUAUUUUUCUGCGUAGAAUAUAAGGGAGACUUUGAAGUAAUUUUUUCGGGAAUUAUGGAGUCGACAGUGCAAUACCUUACUUAAAAAUGGCAUAUCCUAACCAAUACGGCAAAAACGUAUUGAGACAGUAUCUGGUGGAUAGUUUUACUGGGGCUGUACCCUCCUAAAGAGUAAAGGAGGGGUUUAAAGGUCAUCUAGGCGCGAAUGGAAACCGUGCCGAUAGUGUAAUGGCAUAAGAUGGCUUGACUGUAAGGAGGACAUUCCAAGCAGGUGGGAAACCAGAACAUAGUGAUCCGACCAUACGUAUUAGAUGCGGUGGGAGCUCAACGGAUAAAAGCUACUCUAGGGAUAACAGGCUAGUUCCGCCCAAGAGUUCAUAUCGACGGCGGAGUUCGGCACCUCGAUGUCGGCUCACCUUAGCGCGGUGGUGGAGAAGCUACCAAGCGUAUGGCUGUUCGCCAUUUAAAAAGGUACGCGAGCUGGGUUCAGACCGUGGAGGAGUUGUAUCAUGUAGCAAUACAUAUCGCGACUUUUCCACAGUCUGAAUCCUCAGAGGAAGAUAAUUUGAAUAUGAAUUAGAACUGUUAUUAAAAUUGAAACCAACUAAGUACACAGUAUGUGUACGCACGGCGGUACUGAGACAUUUUGUCGAAGUAAGAAGUCGGGGUUUUCGGUAAAAUCCUAACGUGAAAACGAGGACAAUACCGAGAAGAAAAUUUUAUUUUCUUUGUAGAGACUACAAACCGACCCCUUAAAUUAAAUUUAUAGGGAAUGUAUAGUCCAAUCCCA
RNAcentral lists this ribosomal RNA (1571 nucleotides) under wastewater metagenome. Its description in RNAcentral is "bacterial LSU rRNA". The stretch from base 1 to 1320 matches the Rfam family "Bacterial large subunit ribosomal RNA", at positions 1347 to 2925 of the family's 2925-position model. The record is from RNAcentral.